GCCCGGGUGGUGGAACUGGUAGACACGCAGGACUUAAAAUCCUGUCGCCCGCAAACGGCGGUGCGGGUUCAAUUCCCGCCCCGGGCACCA
This 90-nucleotide transfer RNA is filed under the name Bacteroidota bacterium. RNAcentral's name for it is "Bacteroidetes bacterium tRNA-Leu". It matches the Rfam family "tRNA". From Rfam's summary of the family: Transfer RNA (tRNA) molecules are approximately 80 nucleotides in length. Their secondary structure includes four short double-helical elements and three loops (D, anti-codon, and T loops). Further hydrogen bonds mediate the characteristic L-shaped molecular structure. tRNAs have two regions of fundamental functional importance: the anti-codon, which is responsible for specific mRNA codon recognition, and the 3' end, to which the tRNAs corresponding amino acid is attached (by aminoacyl-tRNA synthetases). tRNAs cope with the degeneracy of the genetic code in two manners: having more than one tRNA (with a specific anti-codon) for a particular amino acid; and 'wobble' base-pairing, i.e. permitting non-standard base-pairing at the 3rd anti-codon position. The record is from RNAcentral. Lineage: Bacteria; Pseudomonadati; Bacteroidota. RNAcentral also lists the same sequence under 1 other name.